Molecule: small RNA, 113 nt
Filed under: Rhizobium leguminosarum
Lineage: Bacteria; Pseudomonadati; Pseudomonadota; Alphaproteobacteria; Hyphomicrobiales; Rhizobiaceae
Also listed under: 2 other names
Description: ar15
Rfam family: Alphaproteobacterial ar15
Source: RNAcentral
AGCUGAUGCAUCUUGUGGUUUCUCUCCCAGUACCACCGCAUUAGCUGUUCCCCUCUGGAGGUUUUUUGACCUUCACAAUUAUAAGGGCCCUGGUUUUCCGGUGGCCCUCUUUU